UUCAUUCUUGUCUGCUACUAAUGGUGGGGAUUUCGAUAGGCAUCAAAAUCCCCUCGUGGACAAGAUUGAGCUCAAUUGAAAAAUAAUAAAUGUUGUGCACGACAUUCUAAGCAUAUGAAGAUAGUCGAUGAGAUACAAGAAUGAAAUGCUUCCAAAAUAACUAAUUUCGUGAUCCUAGACAUUCCAUGACCCACGAAAUUCCUGUUAUUUGGUCUCCCCAAUUUCUUCUCUGGGCCUGUCAUCUCUAGAGAUGAGAAGAUGAACCAAGCCAGCUGGCUUGGUCUGGGACUUCCCCGAAAUACAACAUCAACUUUAUUCAAUGUUGAAAUGAAAUUACUGUGUCUUUGAUACAAAAAAAUGAGUGGGCCAAAUGUAUCCCUGAAGAGAUAUUGAUCACUGAUGAAGAUGGUAAGAUGGUAAAGAGAAAAAAUUAGUCCAAUGGAUUUUGUCUUCCUCAAAGUUCCACCAGAAUAAUGUUGCAUCAAGAAUCGAACUGCAUCGAGCAGAGCCAGAAAAUUCUGGCGCCUUGUGUCCGGUCAACCGUCGAGUAACUAACUAUCCGCCAGUAUCAUUUCCUAUGAAUUUGGUUGAAGGUCACGAGAAACAUUACGU
This is a long non-coding RNA of Daphnia pulicaria, 612 nucleotides long. RefSeq lists it as uncharacterized. The transcript has 5 exons. NCBI's taxonomy places the organism in Eukaryota, Metazoa, Arthropoda, Branchiopoda, Diplostraca, Daphniidae. The record is from RefSeq and is a predicted model, not a curated record.